Molecule: ribosomal RNA, 539 nt
Filed under: uncultured bacterium
Lineage: Bacteria
Description: bacterial SSU rRNA
Rfam family: Bacterial small subunit ribosomal RNA
Source: RNAcentral
AAUAGAUACCCCGGUAGUCCACCCCGUAAACGUUGGGAACUAGUUGUGGGGUCCUUUCCACGGAUUCCGUGACGCAGCUAACGCAUUAAGUUCCCCGCCUGGGGAGUACGGCCGCAAGGCUAAAACUCAAAGGAAUUGACGGGGACCCGCACAAGCGGCGGAGCAUGCGGAUUAAUUCGAUGCAACGCGAAGAACCUUACCAAGGCUUGACAUACACCAGAACACCCUAGAAAUAGGGGACUCUUUGGACACUGGUGAACAGGUGGUGCAUGGUUGUCGUCAGCUCGUGUCGUGAGAUGUUGGGUUAAGUCCCGCAACGAGCGCAACCCUCGUUCUAUGUUGCCAGCACGUAAUGGUGGGAACUCAUGGGAUACUGCCGGGGUCAACUCGGAGGAAGGUGGGGAUGACGUCAAAUCAUCAUGCCCCUUAUGUCUUGGGCUUCACGCAUGCUACAAUGGCCGGUACAAAGGGCUGCAAUACCGUGAGGUGGAGCGAAUCCCAAAAAGCCGGUCCAGUUCGGAUUGAGGUCUGCAACUCGA